CAGUCGAACGGAGAAUUUUAUUUCGGUAGAAUUCUUAGUGGCGAACGGGUGACUAAUACGUAGGCAACCUACCCUUUAGACGGGGACAACAUUCCGAAAGGAGUGCUAAUACCGGAUGUGAUCAUCGUGCCGCAUGGCAGGAUGAAGAAAGAUGGCCUCUACAAGUAAGCUAUCGCUAAAGGAUGGGCCUGCGUCUGAUUAGCUAGUUGGUAGUGUAACGGACUACCAAGGCGAUGAUCAGUAGCCGGUCUGAGAGGAUGAACGGCCACAUUGGGACUGAGACACGGCCCAAACUCCUACGGGAGGCAGCAGUGGGGAAUCUUCCGCAAUGGACGAAAGUCUGACGGAGCAACGCCGCGUGAGUGAUGAAGGAUUUCGGUCUGUAAAGCUCUGUUGUUUAUGACGAACGUGCAGUGUGUGAACAAUGCAUUGCAAUGACGGUAGUAAACGAGGAAGCCACGGCUAACUACGUGCCAGCAGCCGCGGUAAUACGUAGGUGGCGAGCGUUGUCCGGAAUUAUUGGGCGUAAAGAGCAUGUAGGCGGCUUAAUAAGUCGAGCGUGAAAAUGCGGGGCUCAACCCCGUAUGGCGCUGGAAACUGUUAGGCUUGAGUGCAGGAGAGGAAAGGGGAAUUCCCAGUGUAGCGGUGAAAUGCGUAGAUAUUGGGAGGAACACCAGUGGCGAAGGCGCCUUUCUGGACUGUGUCUGACGCUGAGAUGCGAAAGCCAGGGUAGCGAACGGGAUUAGAUACCCCGGUAGUCCUGGCCGUAAACGAUGGGUACUAGGUGUAGGAGGUAUCGACCCCUUCUGUGCC
Molecule: ribosomal RNA, 813 nt
Filed under: uncultured bacterium
Lineage: Bacteria
Description: bacterial SSU rRNA
Rfam family: Bacterial small subunit ribosomal RNA
Source: RNAcentral